Formica exsecta is the source of this 5133-nucleotide RNA transcript. It is a transcript of the gene named eukaryotic peptide chain release factor subunit 1, with no coding region annotated. The record is from RefSeq and is a predicted model, not a curated record. The transcript has 12 exons. Lineage: Eukaryota; Metazoa; Arthropoda; Insecta; Hymenoptera; Formicidae.
CGCUCGUAUGCGACUGGGCGGGCGGCCUCGAAGUCUUUUCGUGCUUCCCAUUUUCUCGUGGUGUGGCACGUCCACCGUGAUCCACUGACGUUUCCGCUGUGCCAUCGCAUGGCCGACGUGUGCAUUCCGAGGCUCGCGUGGUACUCGCUGUGUCACGAGCUGUGUCGCCGUUGAAGAAAGCCAUCUCGCCGCACCGACAUCCGCAUCGGCGCACCUAAUCACACCGUGUAACGAUCUCCCGAAAAAGAGAAACCCGUCGUUCCCGGCUUGAUCGACGCGCGGGCCACAUUGCCUGCUCGUCACCGUUGUCGUCGUCGUCUUCAUCUUCAUCAUCGUCAUCGUCCACCAACGGGCGAACUAGAGUGCGCGCGACAGCGAUAAAUCCCCAGCAUUGGGCACGUUGUAACGCCGCGACCACGCGUCCUCACGCACACCAGCAGCGAUGUCGAACGAGGAGACCUCCGCCGACCGCAAUGUCGAGAUCUGGAAGAUCAAAAAGCUCAUAAAGAGCCUCGAGAUGGCCAGGGGGAAUGGUACAAGUAUGAUUUCAUUAAUCAUACCUCCAAAGGACCAAAUAUCAAGAGUAAGCAAGAUGCUGGCGGAUGAAUUUGGCACAGCAUCGAAUAUUAAGUCACGUGUAAAUAGAUUAUCUGUUUUGGGUGCAAUCACAUCGGUACAGCAUAGGCUAAAGCUAUAUACUAAAGUGCCUCCAAAUGGCCUGGUAAUUUAUUGUGGAACUAUUGUAACGGAAGAAGGAAAAGAAAAGAAAGUCAACAUCGAUUUUGAACCUUUCAAGCCUAUUAAUACUUCUUUAUAUCUUUGUGAUAAUAAGUUUCAUACAGAAGCACUCACAGCAUUACUUGCUGAUGAUAACAAAUUUGGUUUUAUUGUUAUGGAUGGUAAUGGAGCGUUGUUUGGCACGCUACAAGGCAAUACACGUGAAGUAUUACAUAAAUUCACCGUGGACCUUCCCAAGAAGCAUGGCAGAGGAGGUCAGUCUGCGUUGCGUUUUGCCCGAUUACGUAUGGAAAAGCGGCAUAAUUAUGUUCGAAAAGUAGCUGAAGUUGCUACUCAAUUAUAUAUCACUAACGAUAAACCUAAUAUCGCUGGAUUGAUUCUCGCGGGUAGUGCCGACUUCAAGACGGAACUUAGUCAAUCUGAUAUGUUUGAUCCAAGAUUGCAAGCUAAGGUUAUAAAACUGGUUGAUGUAUCAUAUGGUGGCGAAAAUGGUUUUAACCAAGCCAUUGAGUUAGCAGCCGAAUCUUUGCAAAAUGUGAAGUUUAUCCAAGAGAAAAAAUUGAUUGGUCGUUAUUUUGAUGAAAUUUCUCAAGAAACUGGAAAGUACUGUUUUGGCGUAGAAGAUACAUUGAGAGCCUUAGAAUUAGGUAGUGUCGAAACUCUAAUCUGUUGGGAGAAUUUAGAUAUUCAACGAUAUGUUUUGAAAAAUCAUACAAACGCAGAAGAGAAAGUUUUGCACUUAACGCCAGAACAAGAAAAGGAUAAGACUCACUUCACAGAUAAGGAGAGCGGGGUAGAACUGGAACUUGUAGAAUGUCAACCAUUACUUGAAUGGCUCGCAAACAAUUACAAGAGUUUUGGUGCUACCUUGGAAAUUAUCACCGACAAAUCGCAGGAAGGCUCCCAAUUUGUCAGAGGUUUUGGUGGCAUUGGAGGAAUCCUCCGCUACAAAGUUGAUUUCCAGUCUCUGCAGGCUGAUGAGCCUCUUGAUGAUGUUGACCUCGAUGAUUACUAAUUUCAUCCGUGAAUUACUCAGAAUCAACCAGCUUGCAUAUUGGGAAAAAGGUAUCUUGCGGUACAAGGUGGACUUUCAAAGUAUGCAGCUGGAUGACAUCGAAAUCGAUAGCUUUGAUUUGGACGAUUACUAAGUCCAUAACUCAACCGAUAUUUAGUUAUUUUAAACAAAUAAAAUCAUUACAAGGCUUCAAUGAGCAAUAAUUGGGUUUUUAUUUAUUUUGAAAUGACAAUAGUAUUAACAAUAAACAAUAUUUGGAACAUUUCCGCACUUACUUGUGCUUCUUCAGCCAAAACAUAAAAAUUUAGACUCUUAAUAUACCAUGGUAAGAUAAGAAAAUGGCAAGAUCACAAGAGGCUAUUUGUAUAAGACAAAAACUUCAUCUGUCGCAAAUCUGCCGAAAAUCGAUGACGCAUUUCUUUUUACUUCCUCCUUCUCUAUGUCACUCACUUCAAAAAUUAUGUUGAUCAAUAAGUGGUCAAGUUUAAAAUCAAGUCGUGCAUAUAAAAUGUGGAAUCAUAUAUGUGGUCCAGAGAAAAUCGAUUUGAAUCGCGUGGUCAAAUAAUUUGUAGAAGAAGUCAUAAUUAUGAUGUCAAAAUAUAAAAUCUAUUGGCGGAUUGCGACAAAAUUGGACGAACCAAGUAAAAAAUAAAUAGUAAAAAAUUUAUAAUUAAUAAAGAAAAAUAAAAAUUCACAAAACAUAUAUAUUAAAAUUAGAAUAUAGCCUCUUGUGAGAUAGUUUUGUGCGAACAGUUGGAGGCAAAGUCAGUUAGUUAUUUUAGCUUUGGAAAAAGCUGGAGGGACAUGAGUGUAUGUUCUUUUUUUGCAUACUGUCCCAAGAGAGAAGCAUAGACGGGCAUGUUUCAAAAUUUGUCAUAUGAUGCAGUAUGUACGAUAUCGUCACGAAAUUCAUGUCUAAAAUUUAUCAACCAGAUCGCAAAAUCGAUACAUGAAAAAGAGAAGCACCAGCUGAUAUAUGGCGUGGCUAUAUAAUUCAUGUCUAUGAAAGAAAAGGCAAUUCGAAGACUGUGACACUUAAUUAAGCCAGCUUGAUACCUGCCUACUCUCAUAACAUUCACUACUUUGUAUUACGAUUUAUGGUCCUUAAUUAUCCACACAGGGAUUCGUUUAAACAAUUAUACUACACGCUCUACAGUGCCGAAUACAAAUGUUGUAUAAUAUAUGAUAAUCCGGUUGUAAUUUUAUAUUAAAUUGAUGUUUAUCAUCUUAUCAUAGAUUUUACGAGGAAUGAGUAUUUGAACUACAAGAGCGGCUGUAUAGCAUUAUUCUGUUCAGAUAUAAUCCUGGAAGAAGAGCUGUAAUAAACUGAUUAUUAUGAACAUAAAUUGCGUAUAUUCUACACCGAUUUGAAAAAUUCAUAUAACGAUAACGAAAAGAGUUCUGUAAAUAGAUGUCAAUUUUUAAAAACGGCACAGUUGCCUUAGACAUAAGUUGAGGUCGCGUACACGAUCCACGGAGUAAAUGAAGUAUUUCCGUCUUAUGCAGUGAUACACACUUGUAAACAUAAGGACAGAUAAUUCCUCGCAAUUCUACAUUGCUCCGUUGCUGGCUCUUGGCUCUUAGAUUUUUGUACAUUCACACAAUUGUACAUAAAAAAUGCUUCGCAAAAGUAUAUUAAAAUAACUUUUUCAUUGUUAUAGUGGUGCACCUCAAUAAAAAGGAAAAUAUUCCCCGCAAUAUUUAAAUGGCAGUUAUAUUGGAGAUAUUAUGAAAUUUAUUUUAACAAUGUUAAUUUAAUUCGCUUAUUCGUAUGAUGCCUUUGUAAUUAACGACGCUAUGUAUGUAUAAAUGUGAAAAGAAUGUAACGUGCAAUUUUGGUGAAGUAUCCUUUAUGAAAGAAUAUUGUAUAGAGAGCAAGGAGGAGCAACUUCUCAAAGAGUCUCCUGACGAAAAGUGUAUCAUUAAUGAUGUAUUUACAUUAUAUCUGCGAUAUCAUGCUGAUGUACACCUUUCACAAAGACAAAAACAGACGCAGAAGAGAGCUUCAUCAAAGUAGAACGUUCGAGAGAGAUCCAAUUUUGCGAUAUGUGCACAACGAAUUUCAAAGUGGCGCGAUGGUUCGAAUUUGUAUCUGUGUAUUAUCUCUCAAGAUACCCAGAUGUUAAUUACCGGCUUAACAUUUCUUCUCAAAUUUUUAUAUGUGAACAUCUCACUAGGAGUCUAGAUAGUUAUUUAUUUCUAUACAUUGGUGCGACUUCGUUUCUGCUUAAGCAGAAUAUCUGAUUUAAGUAUGCAAGCUAAUAAAUUAAGAACUCGAUAAAUAUCAAUUAUUGAAAGUGAGAGAGAGAGAGAGAGAAUGAGAGCAAGAAACAGAAAGAGAAUAGGAAAAGCUUUGUAAUCUUUGUCUAAAUGUAAAGGUAUACGGAAAUGUCGUCCACGCCAGUUGCUUUAAUAAUCGAAUCGAUGACGUACUUAGAUUAUGGCUUGCCCUUCUGAUCUUUGCAAGCAUAAUUGUAUAAUCUGCUAACAACAUAUUCGUCAUUGAUUAUUUUAUUCCCACGUGUUUUGUCAGUGAAAUAUGUUCUUCAAUCGAAAUUAAUUUCCUUAACAGAUUGAUUAGAUUUCAUACCUGACAGCAAUACGAGAACGUAAUCGUAAAGUUUUUUAAUCAGUCCAAUUCUAUAUCAUGGAUAUGAUCUUAUUAUAAUGCUUCACGCGUUUUCGUAUAUGUGUACCACGUUGGAUUUGCGCUAUCUUAAAGUAAAGCUUGUUUUUGAUGGAUUACAAGCAUAUAUAAUAUGGGAUUAUAGCUAAGGACCGGGAAAAAAAUGUUCGUUGGUAUUGCUGCUCAUUUCCUGUGAGAUUUAUGCUCUGUCAGGUGAUAAAAAGGAAGAUUGAAAUAAUGAUUUAAAAACAUUCCAUACACAUGUAUACGCACGUAUACAUGCAUUAAUGUGACACGAUGAUAGUAAAAAAGAUCGUUUAUCAAAAGAUUUUUUCAAAAGACAACAGAGUAUAUAACUAAUUUAUUAAUAUAAUUCCUCUUAUGUGCAUAUAUGAGAAUUGCUUAUGUAUUUAUAUAUUUCAUAUUAAUUUAAUAAUUUUUUGGUCCGCUUUUUCUGGCCCGCAAUUAACAAUUAUGUAUGUAUAUAUAAAAUAUGACAGCUAUGAUAAAUCGGUUAUGACGUAUUAAAAAAGAUAAAAUAUUUUGAAAUGACAAUAAAUUAAUAUCUCAUUUCUAAAUAAUACUCCUAAGUUUAUCGAAUAAUCAUUAUUUCUAAUCUUCCUUUUCUCACGCAUAUUUUACUCGAAGUUUUAUAUACAAGGAAGAGAGUAACGUGUCAUACACAUUGUAAUAUAAAAUGCCGAACAGAAUUGUGGACAACCAUAGGAUAUUAAACAGUAUAUGAGUGAAAAAA